This is a long non-coding RNA of Podarcis raffonei (Aeolian wall lizard), 356 nucleotides long. RefSeq lists it as uncharacterized. The record is from RefSeq and is a predicted model, not a curated record. NCBI's taxonomy places the organism in Eukaryota, Metazoa, Chordata, Lepidosauria, Squamata, Lacertidae. The transcript has 2 exons.
UGUGGCCAGCAGGACUAAACUGCUUCUGGCGCAAUGGGACACCGUGAUGGAAACCAGAGCUCACGGAAACACCAUUUACCUUUCUGCCGCAGCGAUUUAGGCUGAAAAGGAGCAUGUGCACUGAAAGUUAACAGCUGAGCAAACUUUUUUAAAAAUGAUGAAUUACUCCACAUUUACCGAUAUCGAGGUCAUCGGAAGGCACUUCCUCUUUAACUGCCAAAUGACACAUUGCCGUUCUGAAUGCUCGUGUAUCCCAUGUGACCCACUUGGCAUAACCAAAAUGAAGGAGAGCAGCUGGAGAGAGCCGAAGGAAGGGAGGAUGUGGUUACUACUCGGAGGAAGAGAAAGCAAACAUU